GACGAACGCUGGCGGCGUGCCUAAUACAUGCAAGUCGAACGCAGUGGGGACGGGUGAGUAACACGUGGGUAACCUCCCAUCAGAGGGGAUAACACUUGGAAACAGGUGCUAAACUGAUACUGAUGGUUGGACCCGCGGUGCAUUAGCUAUUUGGUGAGGUAACGGCCCACCAAGGCCACGAUGUAUAGCCGACCUGGAGGGGUGAUCGGCAACACUGGGACUGAGACACGGCCCAGCCUCCUACGGAAGGCGGCAGUAGGGAAUCUUCGGCAAUGGACGAAAGUCGGACCGGGCAACGCCGCGUGGGUGAAGAAGGUUUUCGGAUCGUAAAACUCUGUUGUUAGGGAAGCGGUAACUAACCAGAAAGCCACGGCUAACUACGUGCCAGCAGCCGCGGUAAUUC
RNAcentral lists this ribosomal RNA (403 nucleotides) under uncultured bacterium. RNAcentral describes it as "partial 16S ribosomal RNA". It matches the Rfam family "Bacterial small subunit ribosomal RNA", at positions 28 to 526 of the family's 1533-position model. The record is from RNAcentral.